This 497-nucleotide ribosomal RNA is filed under the name uncultured bacterium. RNAcentral describes it as "partial 16S ribosomal RNA". It matches the Rfam family "Bacterial small subunit ribosomal RNA", at positions 28 to 507 of the family's 1533-position model. The record is from RNAcentral.
GAUGAACGCUGGCGGCGUGCCUAAUACAUGCAAGUCGAGCGAACAGACGAGGAGCUUGCUCCUCUGACGUUAGCGGCGAACGGGUGAGUAACACGUGGAUAACCUACCUAUAAGACUGGGAUAACUUCGGGAAACCGGAGCUAAUACCGGAUAAUAUAUUGAACCGCAUGGUUCAAUAGUGAAAGACGGUUUUGCUGUCACUUAUAGAUGGAUCCGCGCCGCAUUAGCUAGUUGGUAAGGUAACGGCUUACCAAGGCAACGAUGCGUAGCCGACCUGAGAGGGUGAUCGGCAACACUGGAACUGAGACACGGUCCAGACUCCUACGGGAGGCAGCAGUAGGGAAUCUUCCGCAAUGGGCGAAAGCCUGACGGAGCAACGCCGCGUGAGUGAUGAAGGUCUUCGGAUCGUAAAACUCUGUUAUUAGGGAAGAACAAAUGUGUAAGUAACUAUGCACGUCUUGACGGUACCUAAUCAGAAAGCCACGGCUAACUACGUG